UACGUAGGGUGCGAGCGUUAAUCGGAAUUACUGGGCGUAAAGCGUGCGCAGGCGGUUUUGCAAGACAGAUGUGAAAUCCCCGGGCUUAACCUGGGAACUGCAUUUGUGACUGCAAGGCCAGAGUGUGUCAGAGGGAGGUGGAAUUCCGCGUGUAGCAGUGAAAUGCGUAGAGAUGCGGAGGAACACCGAUGGCGAAGGCAGCCUCCUGGGAUAACACUGACGCUCAUGCACGAAAGCGUGGGGAGCAAACAGG
Molecule: ribosomal RNA, 253 nt
Filed under: uncultured bacterium
Lineage: Bacteria
Description: partial 16S ribosomal RNA
Rfam family: Bacterial small subunit ribosomal RNA
Source: RNAcentral